This 88-nucleotide transfer RNA is filed under the name Desulfosalsimonadaceae bacterium. Its description in RNAcentral is "tRNA-Leu". It matches the Rfam family "tRNA". Rfam says of the family: Transfer RNA (tRNA) molecules are approximately 80 nucleotides in length. Their secondary structure includes four short double-helical elements and three loops (D, anti-codon, and T loops). The record is from RNAcentral. Lineage: Bacteria; Pseudomonadati; Thermodesulfobacteriota; Desulfobacteria; Desulfobacterales; Desulfosalsimonadaceae.
GCCUGGGUGGCGGAACUGGUAGACGCAAGGGACUUAAAAUCCCUCGGUCUUUAAGGCCGUGCCGGUUCGAUUCCGGCCCUAGGCACCA